This 440-nucleotide ribosomal RNA is filed under the name uncultured bacterium. Its description in RNAcentral is "partial 16S ribosomal RNA". It matches the Rfam family "Bacterial small subunit ribosomal RNA", at positions 338 to 795 of the family's 1533-position model. The record is from RNAcentral.
CCUACGGGCGGCAGCAGUGGGGAAUAUUGCACAAUGGGGGAAACCCUGAUGCAGCGACGCCGCGUGAGUGAAGAAGUAAUUCGUUAUGUAAAGCUCUAUCAGCAGGGAAGAAAAUGACGGUACCUGAGUAAGAAGCCCCGGCUAACUACGUGCCAGCAGCCGCGGUCAUACGUAGGGGGCAAGCGUUAUCCGGAUUUACUGGGUGUAAAGGGAGCGUAGACGGGAGUGCAAGUCUGGAGUGAAAGGCGGGGGCUCAACCCCCGGACUGCUGUGGAAACUGUGCGGCUGGAGUGCAGGAGAGGUAAGUGGAAUUCCUAGUGUAGCGGUGAAAUGCGUAGAUAUUAGGAGGAACACCAGUGGCGAAGGCGGCUUACUGGACUGUAACUGACGUUGAGGCUCGAAAGCGUGGGGAGCAAACAGGAUUAGAUACCCGAGUAGUC